AUUAACAAAUUCUAUUCUAAAAUAUUAUCAAGUUCUAUCUAAACAAAUAGCCAUCAAUUCACACUCUAAUUACCAUUAUCUAUUAUUGUUAACUAUUACAAUAACUAAUUGACUUCUAAUAUCAUCUAUUAAUCUAAUUACCUAAAAUAAACCUAUGCUAAUCCUAAAUGUUAAUAUCCUUAAUCAAAAAAACAGGAGUAAGAAUCUCACAAGAAUGGCCCGAACAACAACCAGGACAUUAAGGCCCACCCCCAAGGCCCAUUAGCCUUUGCCUUUGCAGGCAAUGGAACAGAAUUUGAUGUGAAUAAUCACCCCUGGCCUGACUUGGAGCCCAAAGCCCAAAUUAAUACACAAAGAAAGAUCCAAAGGCUCGCCUCCUCCUUUCUCCCUCACGCGGCCGUGACCGAUCGGGAAGAAAUAAGUCGCGCCGGCUUCGUGGCCAGCAGCGGCUAUCCCCGGCGAUGACGCCAUCGGAGCCUCGAAUCUAAAUAGAAGACCACCGCUCUCAAACGAAUCGAGACCUUAACACCGUGCAUCAAUCGACCUGAACACGGGAAUGCAAAAUGACAUUUACCUUUGAAAACUUCGGUGUUACAGCGUCGAUAUUCGGUUCACGAUCUCCUCGUGCUCCUAGCUCACGCUCGUCAUCGUUCGCCGAAGUUCGAAUAUGGAUCUAUCAUUACGCGUCAAUAUUCUUCCGAUGCUUGGAUCUGCUUCGCUUUUCCAUGAAUUACGUCGUUGUGAUGUGAAGGUGGAACUGUUGAUUGAGGAAAGGGAAGGAGAUGAAGUGAUAGGUUCCUGCAGAAAUUCCUUUGAAGAACUUCUGCUAACAAAAACGAGAAGAGCAAGAAAGAACUUCUGGAAAAAGAGAAAAAUCGCGAGAAAAGAAGGAGAUUCUAGAAAAAUUCGCCAGCCCUUUCCAAGCUUGGAGUGGUCGGCUUAGGCUUGUGUUCACAUCUGCGUAUUGUAGCUGCUUGAAGUUGGUAUCUGGCUUGUUUGCACACUUGGGAGUUAGCAUGCGUUGCCGUUUUGGAAUUCCUGCCUUUUGAACUGCAUUAAUGUUGCAGCUAGUUCUACUCAUUGUCGUUUGUAGCUUACGUUUCACAUGGCAUGGCUUUGAUGCGCCGUUGCGGAUUUUUGCGGUAAUGCUGGCUUGGAGUGAGCUGCAGUCGCGUUACUGAUAUGAUUUACAGCGUGAAUACACUGGCUUUUGCAUCCUUUUGGUGGCUUAUGGUUUGGUUGUGUUGUUUUAGUUGCGUUUACCGCAGCUUCUUGGCUGCGUUUAGAGCUAGCUCACUUUGGAUUGUUGCAUUGGCUAUUACUGUUUUGUUUUAUGUGGGAUAAUUAAUUAAAAAAAGAUUAUUGUAAAAUGGAAUAUGGAUUUUGAUAGUGGUUAA
Lathyrus oleraceus (garden pea) is the source of this 1397-nucleotide long non-coding RNA. RefSeq lists it as uncharacterized. The record is from RefSeq and is a predicted model, not a curated record. The transcript is spliced from 2 exons. NCBI's taxonomy places the organism in Eukaryota, Viridiplantae, Streptophyta, Magnoliopsida, Fabales, Fabaceae.